AUCUUGGCGUGUGUUCUGCUUCAUUGCGAUCUGUCUCGAGUCUGUCUGUCUGUCUGUGCGCUGUGUCAGGCCUUUCAAGAUGGGAGAGUAUAAAUAGCCGAGCUUACUAUAAACGAAAUGACAUGCCCAGUUUGCCCACCGCUAUUCUUGCCAUUUCGUCUGAUCAUUGUGAACUUAACCAUUACUACUACAAACACCUCUCCUUCCCUUUCUUGUCCCUUUCUUCCUUAUCUUAGCUCUUCCUCUUCUUAAUAAACACACUGAGUCAACGUUAAAUCUACUUCUAUCAUGCGUUUUCAUUUAUGCACUGUACACUAAGUCAUAACUACCCCCAUCGUUCCCUUUCUUGUCCGUCUGUAGCUCUUCCUCUCCUUACUAAAAAGACUAAAUCAACAUUAAAUCUACUUCCAAAGGCUGUUUCUCCUUAUACAUUGUGCAACCAGUCACUACUACCUAUCAUUUCCCUUCUUAGUCCAUCUUCCGUAUCUUAGCUCUUCCUCUCAACUCACUAAAAAGACUAAAUCAACAUUAAAACUACUGACAUUCACUGUUUCUCCUUAAACAUUGUGCAGCCAGUCACUACUACCUACCAUCUCCCUGUCUAGUCCAUCUUCCGUAUCUUAGCUCUUCUUCAACUCACUAAAAAGACUAAAUCAACAUUAAAACUACUUACAUUCACUGUUUCUCCUUUAACAUUGUGCAGCCAGUCACUACUACCUACCAUCUCCCUGUCUAGUCUAUCUUCCGUAGUGUAGAUCUUCCACAACUCCCUAAAAAGACUAAAUGAACACUAAAUCUUCUUUCAUAUGCUGUUUCUCCUUAUAUAUUGUACAGCCAGUUAUGACUACCACCAAUUUCCCUUCCUAGUCCGUCAUCACUGUCUUAGCUCUUCCACAACUCGCUAAAACGACACAUCAACAUCCUUACUCAGCAAUGAUGCACAAAAACAGUUUAGUCUGCCUUGUAUCCGUUCGUUGUCUCUCUCUCACUCCACUAAGUUCAUUUUCGCUCCUUCUUCCUCUUCCUCCUCCUCCCCCUGGGUGAGUCAGAAGCCUUCCUCCAGCGAAAAAAAUGAGCUAAAUCAGAAAAUGAGUCGUUCCUGUAACUAUGAGCCCCACCAUCACGGCCUCAACCCCAUCACCACCUGGCUGCCCUCCUCUUCUCUCCCUUCCCUCCCUCCCAUCACGCGCCGUCCGCCCUCCUUCCAUCUCCUGCCUUGCCUCGCGUCCCAGCCUACCCGUUAUCCGCCUGGCUGUUUGUGUUACCUGUCUGCAGUGUAUGAUGACUAACCAGCCUUCUUUACAGCACUUUACCCUAACACAUCCUCUUCAAGCAAACAAGUAUCUCUUUAGUGUGUGUUUAGAGGGAUCGGAAGGCUUUUGUUGGGGGAUGCUGCCCAUUCCGUCAUGUAAUUGAUAUCUUUAUGACUCUAUGGUUUAUUCAUUGCACGUAUCGCGGUCAACGUCCUCCCUCCCUGAAGCUAAGUGAAGAUGCACGGGGCGUUCUCCGAAAAAGACGCGGUGUUUUCUCCACGGUAAACUGAUAAAGAGGAGGUCAAAAAACGGCAGAGGAUGGAAAUAGCGUGAGAGGGUGACGGUCGCGCGAGGAGAGACACAGGGACAGAGAGACGAGGUGAAGUAUAAGUUUGAAAGACAAAAACAAGAGACUGGGGUGGAAUAACCGUAAGCGUCAGAGGGUUAUGGAGGCAAGACGAAGUUAAAGAGGGAGGGAGGAGAAAGAUACGUAAGAAGGAGAGGCGAGGGAUAAAAACUGAAAGACGGAAAGAAGAAACAGAGACGAGGUGAAGUAUAAAGGUUGAAAGACAAAAACAAGAGACUGGACCAGAAUAACCGUAAGCGUCAGAGGGUUAUGGAGGCAAGACGAAGUUAAAGAGGGAGGAAGGAGACAGACAUGCGUAAGAAGACGAGGAGAGGGAUAAAAACUGAAAGACGGAGAGAAGAAACUAAAAUGGAGUAAUCCUUAGCUUGAGAGGGUGAUGGUGGCAAGGCGGAUUUAUUGUUUUUUACAGCAAAGGAAGCAGCUCAAGGGCAAAAAACUGUAAUAAUGAGAAGAAAAAGCCCGCUAAUCACUGCCCCUAUAAAAAAAGAGUUAAGAAGUGUAAAAAAGAGAGGUUAGUUUCAGGAGGAAGAGGUCAAUUUCGGGAGGAAGAGGUCAGUCUCGGGAGGAAGAUGUCAGUUUCGUUAGGAAGAGGUCAAUUUCGGGAGGAUUAACAGAGGGAGGAAGGAGAAGAAAGACACGUAUGAAGAAGACGAGGCGAGGGAUAAAAGGUGCAAGGAAGAGGUCAAUUUCGCUAAGGAGAGGUCAAUUUCGGGAGGAUAAACAGAGGGAGGAAGAAAAAGAAAGACACGUAAGAAGAAGACGAGGCGAGGGAUAAAAGAUGAAAGACAGAAACAAGAGACUGAAGUGGAAUAUAAUCGCCCUGACACCUGAUCGUUGUAUACACUGAUGAAACGCCUGAAGAGGGAUGAACAACAUGUCGAGAGGGUGGAGGAAUGCGGGGAGGGUGGAAGUUAGUUUUAAUAAAGAACAGAACUAAAUACGAGGCUCGAUUGAAUAUAAAAAUAGCCCAAUACGCGAUGGCUCGACACUUGAAGGCCUUGAGUACGUGUGUGUAUAUCGAAUGUGAGGAAGGCGAAGGAGAGGAAGGUGGAAGAGGGAAACAAAACUAAACACACAGAGCAAGAUUUAAAGAGGAAACAAGCAAGUAAGCGAUGGCUGUACUCUAGAUUAAGGGACUUGAGUAGGUGUGUAUCGAGUGAGGAAAGGCGUACAGAGAGGAAGGUGGAAGAGGGAAACAAAACUAAGCCCACAUUGCAAGAUUUAAAGAGGGAACAAGCAAGUAAGCGAUGGCUGUACUCUAAAUAAAGGGACCUGAGUAAGUGUGUAUCGAGUGAGGAAAGGCGUACAGAGAGGAAGGUGGAAGAGGGAAACAAAACUAAGCCCACAUUGCAAGAUUUAAAGACAAAACAAGCAAGCAAGAACGCAAUAUCUGUAGCUACAAUAGAAGAACUUAACAAGGAGGUGUGUGCUGUGAGUAUAGAAGAGUUAAUUAAAAUAGAACUUGGAAAAAUGGAAACUGAUCUGAACACUGCUAAGAUUUUAAAAGAAGAACACUCUCCGACAUUCAGAGGCUAUACGGACUAGAAAAGAAUAGCCAUGUGUCUAAAGGGCGUAAGGAAGAAGCAGGAUAAAAGUGGAAAGAAGAGAAAGUAAAAUUAAGUCCAUCCUGGUGUGUUCUGCUUCAUUGCAAACUGUCUCGUGUGUGUCUGAACUACCUGACUAACCGCAACGCAAUGCUAGAUAAAAAAAAAAAGAGCUCAAUGCACGGUGGUUAUACAGAAGUAGGAACUGAAUAUGCAAGAUGUUGAGUGGGUGCACGGGUGAACGGAGGGGGAUAGAAGAAGAGUAAGAGGACAAGGAAGCAAAAUAGAACACGAGGGACAGCUAAAAUUAAAAGGAAAAAAUAGUUAAACCACACGAUCGCAGCUGUCCAAUGGGAGGCGUUCGAGGGGGCGUGUGGCGAGAUGGUGGGUGGAUGUUAAAGCAGCGAAGGACGGAAGUUAAAAAGAGAAAACCGAAUCUAACACAUUGGUAAACUUUAAAGGCAAAAACAGACCAACACACGAGGCGGUAUACGGUUGGAGGCGGAAGAGGAUGAAGAGUCUGAGCAAGGAAACGAAAGUAAUGGUGGAUUUAAGAGCAGCGAAGAAGAGGUUGAAAAGAGAAAACCAGAUCUAACACAAUGAAUGGCAAACUUUAAAAGGCAGGAGCAGACCAACACGCGAGAAAAAAAUAAUGAAACUAAUAAAAAAAAUCAGUGUAUAAGAAAAAGCACAAAAAAUAAUAAAAAAUAACGUAUAGGAGCAAAGAGAGGAGUAAACGACGAAAACGAGGCGGUAUAGGCUACGGUAGGAGGCGAAAGAGGAUGAGGAAUCUGAGCAACUAGGAAACGAAAGUACACACACACAAUGCAGGAAUUUAAAAGGAAAUCACGCCAACACAACAGGAGGCGGCGGAACAAUAAAAGGGACUUGAGAAGGUGCGUAGGUAUGUGUCGAUAUAGAGAGAGUGGACGACGGCGGAGGAUGAAAAAAUCUGCAGCAGGAAACGAAUAACACACAACCUUAGAUUAUACAGAGGUAAGUUCAUACGAAUUGGUUCUACAGCGGAAGGAGUUGAGUAGGUAAGUGUUGAGAAAGGUGACGGCAGCGGAAGAUGAAUAUAUUGAAAAGGACACGAAAUAACACACAAUAUUCGAUUCUGAAGGGAGAUUCACAGCAAAAGAAGUUGAGUAGAUGUGUGCUGGGAAGGCGUCGGGCGGAGGGCGGGCAGCGGGCGGCUCCUGAAAUACCCGCCCAUCCGACAUUCCCGAGGCACAGCUGAGCGCCCGACAAAUCACUAUUUAUAAGACCAGGGCACGGCGCUCCCUCCCUCCCUCCCAGCUACCUGUCCUUAUC
Long non-coding RNA from Eriocheir sinensis (Chinese mitten crab), 4478 nucleotides. RefSeq lists it as uncharacterized. Lineage: Eukaryota; Metazoa; Arthropoda; Malacostraca; Decapoda; Varunidae. The transcript is spliced from 3 exons. The record is from RefSeq and is a predicted model, not a curated record.